UACAGAGGUGGCAAGCGUUGUUCGGAAUUACUGGGCGUAAAGGGCGCGUAGGCGGUCCCGUCAGUCCCUUGUGAAAUCCCCCGGCUCAACUGGGGAACUGCAAGGGAUACAGCGGGGCUUGAGUUCGGGAGAGGGAAGCGGAAUUCCGGGUGUAGCGGUGAAAUGCGCAGAUAUCAGGAGGAACACCAAUAGCGAAGGCAGCUCGCUGGGACGUUACUGACACUGAGGCGCGAAAGCGUGGGGAGCGAACAGG
Molecule: ribosomal RNA, 253 nt
Filed under: uncultured bacterium
Lineage: Bacteria
Description: partial 16S ribosomal RNA
Rfam family: Bacterial small subunit ribosomal RNA
Source: RNAcentral